CGGCUUAUCAUGAUCAUAUCAGGGGGGUCUUCGUCGUUCAGAGCAGCUCCCGAACCUCGUCUUAAACAGCCAGCUAUAGAAUCCCAGCAGUCACACGGCCCUCUGCUCGCUGUGACCGCCGCUGAUCGCCGCACCAACUCCUACACCUCCUCCUCCUCCUCUGCAGACCAGAUGAUUGACAGCUACACCACUGCUGACAUCACCUCCAGUUUCUGGCCACUGGGACCCACCUCUUCCUGCCAGAAAGACUUAAAACCAGAAGAUAUGCCAUUUUGAUCCAGUUCUUUUACAAACUCCCGUCUGUGAAGAUGUUUCCAUAAUUGUAGCAUGUUUUUCUUUGUUUACAGUCAUUCUGUUAUAGAAGGUUGUCAGGGUGGUGCCCCAAAUCUUUAUUAUGGUCUUGUCUUUCUCUUACAAGAUUAAGGAACUCAGCAAUACCAAAGAACCACUGCUUCUGUGAAUGGAUAGGAGCCAGUUGAGAUGGUAGUGACAUGCAGUUAGAAAAGUGUUCCAGGGAGAGUGCCAGGUGGCUGAGUUAAGAUACGAUAGGGGGAUUAUAUCUCUGAGGAGGAACUAGAGGAAGCUUCUGGGAAUGGGGGACCCUGGUUAGUCCAGCCUGGCAUAUGCCACUCUGACCCUCACCAAAAAGUAGAAUGAUGAUGAUCAUCUGGAAGUUCUGUAGAUUUGAUGUAUUACAUUUGAUGCCUGUGGUGAAAACUGACAGACUGGAACUGUUAUAAUAAACCUGGGAUGUCAGGUCUACUGGUAUGAAACAUUAAAAUUUAUAAUAUGAGUGGAUCCAUGAAGUAUUCAGACUCCCUCACUUUUUCACAUCUUGUUAUCUUCUAGCUUUAUGGUAAAAUCAUUUCAAUUCAUUUUUCUCCCAGGAUUAAAAAGCAAAAACAGAAUUUUAGAAAUUUUUGCAAAUCUAUUAAAAAUAAAAAAAAACUGAAAUAUCCCAUUAAUACAAAUAUUCAGACCCUUUACUCAGUUCUUAGUUGAAGCACCUUUGGCAGCAAUUACAACUUGAAGUAAUCUUUGCUCUUACAAAAUAAGUUUUGCACACGCAGGGCCGUCUUAACAUAUGGGCACAAUGGCCACUUGCCAGGGGUCCCAGGAGCAUAGUGGCCUACAAUGUUUCUAAUUCCUAUGUAUGUUUCUGUUUUGCUAUCAAAAUAGGGGCCCCAGCGCAUUACUUUGCCCAGGCCCUGGAGUUGGAGAUUUUCUGCCAUUCUUCUCAGUGGAUCCUCUCAAGCUCUGUCAGGUUGGAUGGAGAAUAUCGGUGGACAGGCUAUUGUUGGGUAUCUUGAUUGGGAAGGACAUUCACAGAGUUAGGCCGAAGCCACUCCUGUGUUGUCUUUGCUUUGUGCUUGGAGCCAAUGUUCUGUUGGAAGGUGAUCUUUCGGCCCAGUUUGUGGAUAUUUCUGUACUUUGCUCCAUUCAGUUUUCCCUCGAUCCUGACUAGUUUCCCUGACCCUGCCACUAAAAAAUAACCACUCAGCAUGAUGCUGCCAACACCAUGAUUCAUCAUUGGAAUGGUAUUGCACAGGUAAUGGGCAGGGCUUGUUUUCCCCCAGAUAUGAUGCUCACAAUUGAGGCUUAAUUGGAUAAAAGAAUAUUGUUUCUCACAGUCCGAGAGUCCUUCAGAUGUCUUUUUGGAUAUUCCAAGUGGACCUCCCUGUGUCUUUAACUAAAGAGAGGCUUCUAUCUGGCUACUCUGUCAUAAAGCACAGAUAGGUGGGGUGCUGUAAUGAUGGUCGUCCUUCUGGAAGUUUCUCCCAACUCCAUACAGGUUCUCUGGAGCUCAUCCAGAGUGACAAUUGAUCUCCUAGUCACCUCACUUACCAUGGCCCUUCUCCCCUGAUUCCUCACUUUGGCCAGGUGGCUAGCUCUAGGAAGAGUCAUGGUUGUUAAAAACGUCAUCCAUUUAGAACAUAGGAAAUUUGACAAAAAAACUACAGGAGACCAUUCAGUCCAUCAAGCCUGUUUGUUUAACUAAUAGUUAAGCUAUCCCAAAGGAUUUGAGACAUUAUGAAGGCCAUUGUGCUCUUGGGAAGCUACUGCAGAAUUUUUUUGUAGCCUUCCACAGAUCUGAGCCUCGGCACAAUCCUGUC
Erpetoichthys calabaricus (reedfish) is the source of this 2114-nucleotide long non-coding RNA. RefSeq lists it as uncharacterized. The transcript is spliced from 3 exons. The record is from RefSeq and is a predicted model, not a curated record. Lineage: Eukaryota; Metazoa; Chordata; Cladistia; Polypteriformes; Polypteridae.